Molecule: ribosomal RNA, 1416 nt
Filed under: Janus megamaculatus
Lineage: Eukaryota; Metazoa; Arthropoda; Insecta; Hymenoptera; Cephidae
Description: 16S ribosomal RNA
Source: RNAcentral
AUAAUUUUUUAAUAGUUAAAAUUUAUAAUUGAUUAGUAUUUGGGGGUUUAUAUUUAAAGUAGUAUUAAUUUAGUAUUUGGUGUUAUAGUAUAUAAGUUAGAAUAAAUAGUUUUAUUUUUAAAUGUAAGUGAGAUUUUGAAAUAAAUUGAAUAAAUUAAAAAUUUAAUAAGUAAAAUUAAUUUUUUGUACCUUUUGUAUCAGGGUUUUUUAAAUAAAUGUUAUUAAUUUAAUUUUCUCGAAUUAUUUAGAGUUAAUGUAAUAUGAGAGUUAGUGUUUAAUUAUUAUUUUAAAUAUUAUGUUAGUGGAGAUAUUCUUGUCAAUAAAUAAGAUAUCUAGUUUUUUUAGAAAUAAAUUUAAUUUAUUUAUUAAAUUGAAAUAUAUUAUAUUAAUUUAUUAUGUUAUUUUAUUUAAUAAAAAGAGUUUAAGGGAUUAGCUUUAAAUUUUUAUUUAAAACUUAUUGAAAAUGUUUAAAUUAAGAAGUUAUAGAUUUAAAAUUAGUUAUUGAUUAAAUUAUGUAAUAAUUUAUUUAUAUAUGGAAUUUUGAUUUUGUAUAAGUUUAAGUGGGGUGUAUAAAAAUAUUAUUAAUUAAUUAAUUAUUAUAAUAAAUAAUGAUAAAAUUAUUAUAAUUUAAUUUGUAUAUUUUAUAAGAGGAAGGGCUAUAUUUUUAAUAAAUAAAAAUAUAGUUUAUUAUAUAUAAUUAUAAGGAACUAGACAAAAUAUUAUAUUUACCUGUUUAACAAAAACAUGUCUUUUUGAAAUUUUAAUUUAAAGUCUAAUCUGCCCACUGAAAUUUAUUUAAAUGGCCGCGGUAAUUUGACCGUGCAAAGGUAGCAUAAUCAUUAGUUUUUUAAUUGAAAGCUUGUAUGAAGGAUUGGAUAAGAUAUAAAUUGUCUCAUAAUUAUUUGGGUUAAAAUUUAAUUUUUAAAUAAAAAAGUUUAAAUUUUAUUAAAGGACGAGAAGACCCUAUAGAUUUUUAUAGUAGAGGUGUUUAUUUUUAAUUAAAGUUUAUUUUUAAAUUAAAUAUUAUAUUAUUUUGUUGGGGUGACAUUAAAAUUGAAUUAACUUUUAAUAUUUUUAUUCAUUGAUUUAUGUUAUUAUUAAAUAAUUUUUAAUUUAUGAUCCUAAUUUUUAGAUUAUUAGACUAAAAUACCUUAGGGAUAACAGCGUAAUUUAUUUGGAGAGAUCACAUUAAUAAAUAAGUUUGCGACCUCGAUGUUGAAUUAAGAUUAUUUUUGGGCGUAGAAGCUUAGAUAAAUAGGUCUGUUCGACCUUUAAAAUCUUACAUGAUUUGAGUUCAGAUCGGCGUGAGCCAGAUCGGAUUCUAUCCUUAAUUAAUUUUAAUUAUUUUUGUACGAAAGGACUAAAUUUUUUAAAUAAUUUAAUUUAAAAUAUUUGGUAGAAGUUAAUAUUUAAAUA